AGAAAACUAGUAGAAGGGAGUGAGGAAGGAGGAGAAAGACCAGAAGAAGGGCAAGGGAUGUGGGGCGAUCUGCAUGUCCAUGGAGCAGUAGGACGACAACGAGAGGAUGAGUACCUCGACGGCGACGAAAACCAGGAGGAUGAACCCACCCACAGUACUGGAAUCAGGGAUGACACGGUUCGGGAUCGCCGCACGCUUCAACGCCCCGUCGCCGGCCGUCUCGGAGGCUGCCGCCACCAACGCCGCGUCGGGCGUUGUCCACGCAGUGCCACGGACCGAGCCUGUUGCUUCCGCCGAGUGGCUGCAUGCCAACCUCAGGGACCCCAAUGUGAAGUUUUUUGUCUAGGUACUUGAUGCCUCUUGGUGAGAAGAUGAUGGCAAGUUCCUCAUUCCAAUUGAGUUUAUAUUGUGUAGGUUUCUUCAUCAUGAUCUAGAUUUCCGCAGUCAUGUUCAAGUCCAAUGAUAUCUUGCGCAAGUAGAUCGCUCUCAAGACUGCUCUCAAGGGCUUGUGCUUAUCUUGUGUAUCAACGUUCUUGUUCACAUCCAUCUUGGAGGGCUCAAAUUCGCUGCCGGAAGCUUCUUCAGUCGCUGUGUGGGCCUCUCAGUUGCCCCCUUAAGUUUGCUCAGGGUUCUCCAUGGCGACAAUCUGGGAAGCCUCCUCGGUGGCAGCCUUGGCAAUACCGGCUUCCUCGGCGAGCUCUUCACCUCCCACGGGAGAAGUUGGAGCUGAAAACCAAGACACAAGAAAAAAAGAAGGUUCAAAUCAUAGAUAGAAACCAAGGAAAUUUCUCAUGGAAAUAACUUUAUGGCAAGAGAAUUACCCAGGUGCACUUGUUGGGAAGGAGCAUCCCCUCCCCCGUCAGCAUGCGUUGUCGGCACACGUUCCUCGA
This is a long non-coding RNA of Triticum dicoccoides, 890 nucleotides long. RefSeq lists it as uncharacterized. The record is from RefSeq and is a predicted model, not a curated record. The transcript has 4 exons. NCBI's taxonomy places the organism in Eukaryota, Viridiplantae, Streptophyta, Magnoliopsida, Poales, Poaceae.